UACAGAGACUGCAAGCGUUAUUCGGAUUCACUGGGCGUAAAGGGUGCGCAGGCGGCCGUGUGUGUCAGGUGUGAAAGCCCGGAGCUUAACUCCGGAAUUGCGCCUGAAACUACAUGGCUAGAGCAUUGGAGAGGGUAGCGGAAUUCACGGUGUAGCAGUGAAAUGCGUAGAUAUCGUGAGGAACACCAGAGGCGAAGGCGGCUCACUGGCCCGAUACUGACGCUGAGGCACGAAAGCGUGGGGAGCAAACAGG
Molecule: ribosomal RNA, 253 nt
Filed under: uncultured bacterium
Lineage: Bacteria
Description: partial 16S ribosomal RNA
Rfam family: Bacterial small subunit ribosomal RNA
Source: RNAcentral